ACGCUUGUCCCAUGUUCCGCUGACUUCGGUCGGCAGCAUGCCCAGGCAGUCUCGAUCUUCAAGACUGCGACGCGGUUCCGACCGCGUAGAUCACACCAGUUCGCACCGGCAUCCACGCGCGAACGCCCAUCGGCCUGCCGAUGGUGAUGC
Non-coding RNA from Burkholderiales bacterium 70-64, 150 nucleotides. Lineage: Bacteria; Pseudomonadati; Pseudomonadota; Betaproteobacteria; Burkholderiales. The record is from Rfam.